UACGGAGGGUGCAAACGUUGCUCGGAAUUAUUGGGCGUAAAGGGUGCGUAGGCGGUGCGGUAAGUCUGUAGUGAAAUCUCUGGGCUCAACUCAGAGUCUGCUAUAGAAACUGCCGUGCUUGAGUGUGGGAGAGGUGAGUGGAAUUCCCGGUGUAGCGGUGAAAUGCGCAGAUAUCGGGAAGAACACCCGUGGCGAAGGCGGCUCUCUGGGACGGUACUGACGCUGAGACGCGAAAGCGUGGGGAGCGAACAGG
This 253-nucleotide ribosomal RNA is filed under the name uncultured bacterium. RNAcentral describes it as "partial 16S ribosomal RNA". It matches the Rfam family "Bacterial small subunit ribosomal RNA", at positions 524 to 776 of the family's 1533-position model. The record is from RNAcentral.